This 759-nucleotide long non-coding RNA is filed under the name Homo sapiens (human). RNAcentral's name for it is "HSALNT0204471". The record is from RNAcentral. Lineage: Eukaryota; Metazoa; Chordata; Mammalia; Primates; Hominidae.
GUUUAAUAGGCAAGAAGCAAGGGAGAAGACAGAAGGAAGAAGCUUCCCCAUACAGAGAAAGAGGGAGGAGGGCUCCAAAGCUGAGAGAGGAGGUACCCGCCUGCCAAGGAUACCAGCCAGCCUCUAGUUUGUAGCAACUCAGCAUUCUGCAAAGACUCUGCUCCAGCUGGGCAAGUAACCUUGUUAUUGCAUACACAGGUAUGCUCAGAGGACAGAAGGCUGGAAGGAAGGGAAGAAGGUAGAAAAACAAGAGUGAAAAAGAGGGUUUCCGAUUUAUGGAUGUAUAUUAAAGCAUAUUGAAGAUAUCAGGUGAUUUCAUCCCUUUAUACACUUCAGCAUAUAUCUCCAAAUGGUGAGAGAGACAGACACUGGGAGUGCUCAUGCGCAGAGGAAAGGCCGUAGGAGGAUGCUAUAAAAAGGCUGUUGUCUGCAAGCCAAGGGGUGAGGCCUCGGGAGAAACCAAGCCUGUUGACACCACGAUCUUGGACUUCCACCCCUUCAGAACCGUUGUUGGGGGAGAGAUCACUGAGUGGAGUGGUUCCCAAUUGUAAUCACCUGGGGACUCCUAACACAGCUGAUGCCCAGCUAGCACCCAGGAUAAUUUAAAUUAGAAACUUCAGAAAGUUUCAAGCAUACACAAAAGAAGGGAAAUAACUAAUUAAUCAUAUCUUGCAUGCUGUUUCAUCCUUGUGAAGGCAGUAUGGCUUAAUGGUCAAGACUGCACAAUCUGAAACUAAACUGCUCGGCUCACCUCAGGUA